GACGAACGCUGGCGGCGUGCUUAACACAUGCAAGUCGUACGGUAAGGCCCUUUCGGGGGUACACGAGUGGCGCACGGGUGCGUAACACGUGAGUAACCUGCCCACAACUUUGGGAUAACGCUAGGAAACUGGUGCUAAUACUGGAUAUGUGCUCCUGCUGCAUGGUGGGGGUUGGAAAGCUCCGGCGGUUGUGGAUGGACUCGCGGCCUAUCAGCUUGUUGGGGGGGUAGUGGCCUACCAAGGCGGCGACGGGUAGCCGGCCUGAGAGGGUGACCGGCCACAUUGGGACUGAGAUACGGCCCAGACUCCUACGGGAGGAAGCAGUGGGGAAGAUUGCACAAUGGGCGCAAGCCUGAUGCAGCAACGCCGCGGGCGGGAUGACGGCCUUCGGGUUGUAAACCGCUUUCAGCAGGGACGAAGCUUUUUGUGACGGUACCUGCAGAAGAAGCACCGGCUAACUACGUG
RNAcentral lists this ribosomal RNA (465 nucleotides) under uncultured bacterium. RNAcentral's name for it is "partial 16S ribosomal RNA". It matches the Rfam family "Bacterial small subunit ribosomal RNA", at positions 28 to 507 of the family's 1533-position model. The record is from RNAcentral.